Molecule: non-coding RNA, 82 nt
Filed under: Bathycoccus prasinos
Lineage: Eukaryota; Viridiplantae; Chlorophyta; Mamiellophyceae; Mamiellales; Bathycoccaceae
Source: RNAcentral
AGACGAGGUGAAGCACAAGAAAGAUGAUGAUGAUGCGAAAACGACGGAAACCGCGUAAAAACGCAUGACGCUUCUGUUCCUC